UUAUGGACUAGCAGGCUGAAAG
This 22-nucleotide unclassified non-coding RNA is filed under the name Mus musculus (house mouse). Its description in RNAcentral is "oocyte_clustered_small_RNA8333". Lineage: Eukaryota; Metazoa; Chordata; Mammalia; Rodentia; Muridae. The record is from RNAcentral.